AGACGAAGAAGAGGAAAAUUGUGGAUCGACGUGCCUCUAAGAGCAGAAAGAUCAGGUAUAAUGUUCAUGAGAAGAUUGUCAACUUCAUGGCUCCACGACCAGCAAAGAUUCCUCCAAACACAAGAAUCUCUUCGGUCUCAAGACCAGAAACGUUCAGUCUGAAGCGUAAUACAAACCGCAAUUUUGAAACGCAGCAAUAGAGAUCUACUUUAUUUUUGUGUGUUGUAAUACUGUCGACAUCGUUUCUUAUUGAAAGCCAGAUUUGAAAAGCAACGAGUUAUU
Arabidopsis lyrata subsp. lyrata is the source of this 282-nucleotide long non-coding RNA. RefSeq lists it as uncharacterized. The record is from RefSeq and is a predicted model, not a curated record. The transcript has 2 exons. NCBI's taxonomy places the organism in Eukaryota, Viridiplantae, Streptophyta, Magnoliopsida, Brassicales, Brassicaceae.